AUUGAACGCUGGCGGUAUGCUUAACACAUGCAAGUCGAACGGCAGCACGAGGAGCUUGCUCCUUGGUGGCGAGUGGCGGACGGGUGAGUAACGCGUAGGAAUCUGCCUGGUAGGUGGGGGACAACCAGAGGAAACUCUGGCUAAUACCGCAUACGCCCGUACGGGGGAAAGCGGGGGCUCUUCGGACCUCGCGCUACUAGAUGAGCCUGCGUCGGAUUAGCUUGUUGGUGGGGUAAUGGCCCACCAAGGCGACGAUCCGUAGCUGGUCUGAGAGGACGAUCAGCCACACUGGGACUGAGACACGGCCCAG
This 310-nucleotide ribosomal RNA is filed under the name uncultured bacterium. RNAcentral's name for it is "bacterial SSU rRNA". It matches the Rfam family "Bacterial small subunit ribosomal RNA", at positions 30 to 334 of the family's 1533-position model. The record is from RNAcentral.